RNAcentral lists this ribosomal RNA (440 nucleotides) under uncultured bacterium. RNAcentral describes it as "partial 16S ribosomal RNA". It matches the Rfam family "Bacterial small subunit ribosomal RNA", at positions 339 to 795 of the family's 1533-position model. The record is from RNAcentral.
CUACGGGGUGCUCCAGUGAGGAAUAUUGCACAAUGGGGGGAACCCUGAUGCAGCAACGCCGCGUGGAGGAUGACGCAUUUCGGUGUGUAAACUCCUUUUAUAUGUCAAGAAAAUGACGGUAGCAUAUGAAUAAGCACCGGCUAACUCCGUGCCAGCAGCCGCGGUAAUACGGACGGGUGCAAGCGUUACUCGGAAUCACUGGGCGUAAAGGACGCGUAGGCGGGUUGGAAAGUCAGGUGUGAAAUCCUACAGCUUAACUGUAGAACUGCACUUGAAACUUCUAAUCUAGAGUAUGGGAGGGGGAGAUGGAAUUAGUGGUGGAGGGGUAAAAUCCGUAGAUAUCACUAGGAAUACCUAAAGCGAAGGCGAUCUCCUGGAACAUUACUGACGCUAAGGCGUGAAAGCGUGGGGAGCAAACAGGAUUAGAUACCCGCGUAGUC